This 253-nucleotide ribosomal RNA is filed under the name uncultured bacterium. Its description in RNAcentral is "partial 16S ribosomal RNA". It matches the Rfam family "Bacterial small subunit ribosomal RNA", at positions 524 to 776 of the family's 1533-position model. The record is from RNAcentral.
UACGGAGGAUUCAAGCGUUAUCCGGAUUUAUUGGGUUUAAAGGGUGCGUAGGCGGUCGGAUAAGUUAGAGGUGAAAUCCCGGGGCUCAACUUCGGAAUUGCCUCUGAUACUGUUCGGCUAGAGAGUAGUUGCGGUAGGCGGAAUGUAUGGUGUAGCGGUGAAAUGCUUAGAGAUCAUACAGAACACCGAUUGCGAAGGCAGCUUGCCAAGCUACUUCUGACGUUGAGGCACGAAAGCGUGGGGAGCAAACAGG